This 230-nucleotide ribosomal RNA is filed under the name uncultured bacterium. RNAcentral's name for it is "partial 16S ribosomal RNA". It matches the Rfam family "Bacterial small subunit ribosomal RNA", at positions 567 to 791 of the family's 1533-position model. The record is from RNAcentral.
GACGUGCGCAGGCGGUUAGUGUAAGACAGAUGUGAAAUACCCGGGCCUCAACCUGGGAACUGCAUUAGUGACUGCAUAGCUGGAGUACGGCAGAGGGGGAUGGAAUUCCGCGUGUAGCAGUGAAAUGCGUAGAUAUGCGGAGGAACACCGAUGGCGAAGGCAAUCCCCUGGGCCUGUACUGACGCUCAUGCACGAAAGCGUGGGGAGCAAACAGGAUUAGAUACCCCAGU